CUACGCUCUAGUGAAUCAUCGAAUCUUUGAACGCACAUUGCACCUCGUGGCUUCUGUCACAAGGUAUACUUGUUUGAGUAUCUUAUACGUUCUCACCUCCUCUUCAGGAAAGGUGGAUUUGAGGCAUCGAUCACCAAGCUCAUUUGGGCAAGAAACCGGUCGUUCCUUGAAAUUCUCGGCUAUUAUGGAAGGACUCCGUAGGAAUCUGAAGCAGACCAUUGGGAUAAUAUCCCUGACAAUCGUCUAUCAAAUUCCGCAGCGUUGACCUGACCAGAGCCUUUCUCGCUAUUGACGGCUACAUGUUUAUGUUGCCGUUCAGGUAGCACCUUUAUUUUUGAAAAGAUCUCAAAUCAAGUAAGGAUACCCGCUGAACUUAAGCAUAUCAAUAAGCGGAGG
RNAcentral lists this ribosomal RNA (396 nucleotides) under uncultured Basidiomycota. RNAcentral describes it as "eukaryotic LSU rRNA". The stretch from base 341 to 396 matches the Rfam family "Eukaryotic large subunit ribosomal RNA", at positions 1 to 56 of the family's 3401-position model. Lineage: Eukaryota; Fungi; Basidiomycota. The record is from RNAcentral.